Clupea harengus (Atlantic herring) is the source of this 101-nucleotide long non-coding RNA. RefSeq lists it as uncharacterized. NCBI's taxonomy places the organism in Eukaryota, Metazoa, Chordata, Actinopteri, Clupeiformes, Clupeidae. The record is from RefSeq and is a predicted model, not a curated record. The transcript is spliced from 3 exons.
UGUGUAUGUGUGUGGUACAGACAUGGUUACGUCCUAUCUGCUAUCUGUGUGUGUGUGUGUGUGUGUGUGUGUGAUAUGUGUGUGUGUGUGUGUGAGUGUGU